AGCGAAUAUAUCCCAGCAUUCAUUUCGGCAUUCAAGCGAGGAGCGGAAAAUUACUCGACGCCAUUGAACAACGACAGAGAACACUUCGGGUCAAAACUGGUCAAAGUGAAAGUUUGACCAAGAGGAACAAGAUGGAUAUCAAUACAAUUGCAUAAAGUAUUGGCAGGGAUCCCGGUAUCGGAAGGUCAGAUGGAGAUUGGCGCUGGUGUUCCGGUUGAUCUCCCACAUUCCAAUGCCUCUCUGUUCCGGAAUGAAAGGAAAGAACAUAUCAGAACGUCCCCAGUGUAACGGAGACGAGAUAAAAAGUGUGUAUAGAGUUUCUGAUAACACUCUGGGGAGGAAGCAAGAGAGAGGCGUGUAGCCCAGAGACAAUGCAAUCCUGUGCUGCAGCGUCUGGAAACUCUCACUCAUGAACUUUGAGUUUGUUUUAUCUCUUUGCUUUAGGUUGACGACAUUAAUUGUUUUGGGGAAAACAAAAAAGUAAAUGUUUCCCUUUUUCAGGCUGUGAUGUGUGGAGAAGAGCAGAGUUAAGGCGGUAAUGACAAGGAUUGGAGAGUAAUGGGAUUAUGUAAUCAGGAUACAAAAAGUAACUGCAUUCCCCUUCCAGA
Eleginops maclovinus (Patagonian blennie) is the source of this 608-nucleotide long non-coding RNA. RefSeq lists it as uncharacterized. Lineage: Eukaryota; Metazoa; Chordata; Actinopteri; Perciformes; Eleginopidae. The record is from RefSeq and is a predicted model, not a curated record. The transcript has 3 exons.